RNAcentral lists this long non-coding RNA (2719 nucleotides) under Homo sapiens (human). RNAcentral's name for it is "HSALNT0407541". The record is from RNAcentral. Lineage: Eukaryota; Metazoa; Chordata; Mammalia; Primates; Hominidae.
CUUUAUCGAGGUAUACCUACAUAAAGUGUACUGAUAUUCUGUGUAUAGCCCAGUGGAUUUGUACAUAUGUAUGCACUUGUGUAGCCACCACCCAGAUGAAGAUACUGAGCAGGUCCAGUACCCCAGAGCUACCUUCAUUUCUAUCACUUUCCCAAGCUGUCAUCCCCGCCGGCUGUCAUGGGAACCCUGUCUGUAAGAUGCGACAGUUUGGGUAAAGGAGUUUGGUCAUUUUAAAGAGUGUGAAAGGCAGAGAACAGAGAAAUCAAAACCUUGCAGGGCCAAGGUGGGUGGAGAGGGUGUUUUUCUUUUAACAUACAUGGGCGGUUUUAAGGAGAAAUUGAAGCAGCCUGUUCAGACAAUUGUUUUGGUAUCUGGCCCCAGGUCUGUGGUUCCUAACAUGACUUGUGAUAUUAUUUUAAGUGGGCAGAUGGCUUUUUGAUAGCUUCUUUAUCUUUCGAUCUCAGCUCUUGCAAAGGGGAGGUUGGUGCUCAUUGCAAGAUCAGCGAUAAGGGUUUCUUUGUAGGUCGGUGGCUUUCUUGGUGAGUACAUUUCAACAUAUUAUUGUUUUAGAACCUGUGUGCUGCCAGUGACUUGCAGCACUGUUGAAGACUAGCCACCCUUUGUGACCUAGCCCUCUUGGGAAAUGGCGGAGGAUCUCAGGGUAUAUCCCUUACCUGUGGGAGCCCUAUCAGAGGGCUUCCUGUUGAGGAAAUGUUGGCUGUAGGCCCUCUGUGCACUGAGCACAGCCACAUCAGGUGAGGGCAUGGGAGAAGUCCGUGGUAGCCAUCAGGAUAGAGUUCAGAAACCCAAAUGGCUGCUUUCCCUGGGUUGCUGGACCAGGCAUUUGGUAACUCUAAAGCUUAGAGAUGAUUCAUCGACAAGCAUUUAUUGACUGCCUACUGUGUGCUGGGCACAGUGCUAGGUUCCAGCAGGGAAAGAGAUGCAGAGUGGUCCUAAGAUGUCACAGGGCUUGUGGGAUGGAGUACAGAGGAUUUGUUGUAUGAGACCUGGCUGAGCCCCUGCUCUUCGCCAGGCACUUCACUGAGUACUAUAUUUUCAUGCAAGGUCUGGUUUAAUUCCGACAACAUUCCCUGUGAAGUAGAGGGUUUUAAAUUUCUCUUUCCUGGAUGAGCAAACUGAGGCUCCCAGAGUCCAAAGUCCUAGGGCUGGUGUGGGGAAAAGCCCUCCUGAUCUUCCUUGGCACUUGACACUACCCUUUGGAAGUGUCCUAUUCUUCUUAAAAGUAAAGACCAAGAGAGCCUCACCAUGGUCUUCAAGCACCCUCCCAUCCCAUUCCCCAAUCUGGCCUCCACUGGCUCAUAGUCUUAACACCAGUGGUCUUUCUGAGCUCCUGUCACCAUGGUCUUUCUGUUACUCCAAAGGGCCUCGCUCCUUUCUGCUGCAGGGCCUUUGCCCCUGCUGUUUCCUUCACCAGGAACAUUUAUCCCGUACCCCUUGCAGUCUCCUCCAGUGUUGAUCCCUCAGUUCUAAGAGGACUUCCCCAGGGGAGCCUGUCCACCCCAGUGUCCUCGGGCCCCUGGCUUUUUCAUAGCACUCAUCAGCCCAGCACGUGCUAAGCUUUGUUAGAGAAUGUCCCAUGGCAGAGCAGAUGAACAUCGCCACCAGUCGAGGGGUCAUCGGCCACCCUGCCUAGCAGUUCUACUAUAUUUUUUUGAUCCACUCGUUUCUCCUCUGAAGUGACUCUUUCAAAUGUUCUUUACCUUCAGACUUUCUCUCCUGCUUCAAAAAACAAAACAGAAGCCAUAAGAAUGGAACUCCCUAUAACUUGUGGCCCCCAAGUCUGCACGCUGAUUUCCCUCCCCUGUGUUACAGAUGACGAGGAGUCCCUUCUUGCUCAGGCCACUUCUCCCUCCUGUGCUCUGGGUCCCAGUUUCUGCUACUUGCUCUAGAAUCUGACAUCAUCAGUCACCUUUUCUCUCCUGGCAGGUUUUCUGCUGCCCUCCUUGCUUGAUCCUCUAUUCACCUUUGCCUGUGCCAGCAUCCCUUCUGUCUCCGCUGACCCCACGUUCUCUCCCUCCUGCUUCUGGCCAGCACCUCAUCACCCUCCCCUUCACUGCUGACCCCUGCAGAGUUGCCUGUACUUGCCUUCUGCACUUGCUCACCCCCGUAAGUGUUAGCCCCCGGCAUCUGCCAGAUUCUGCAGGUGGUUUUUUAGUUUUCCUCUUGAAGUGGUUGACCACUCCUACUUAAAACACUUUGUCUUCCCUUGCCUUGAGACCACACUCUGCUGGUUUUCCUCUUAACUCUCUGGCCCUUCUCUUUCUCCUGGCUCUUCCCUUAGCUUCAUGUAUCCAAACUCGGCAUCUCCACUUGACUGAUGGCCCAAAUAAUUCCUCAAACUCACCUUGUCGGGGACUGCAUUCAUCACCUCUCCCACAGUGUUCCCAAGCAGCCUCUCACUCCCCUACCUCCCCACUUGCUCGUUUUGCUUUUCAGCAUCCUUAAGUAAGCCCUGCCUGACCCUGUAGAUUGGGCCAGGGACCCUUAUUCUAGGGCAUUCUUUCCUUUUCUAAAGGCACUGAUCGCAGUUUGUAGUUAUAUCUUUAUUAGGGGGUUGCUGGAUGACUCUCUGCCCCGCUAGACUGUAAGCUCCGUGAGGGGUAGGGACAUGGUCUGCUUUCAUUCACCACUGUAUUCCUGCAGGCCUGCCACAGUGCCUGGCACUUAGCAGGUGCUCAAUAAAUGUUUGUUGAAAUAA